CAGCCGCCGCGGGAAUACGAAGGGUGCAAGCGUUAAUCGGAAUUACUGGGCGUAAAGCGUGCGUAGGCGGUGAGUUAAGUCUGCUGUGAAAUCCCCGGGCUCAACCUGGGAAUGGCAGUGGAUACUGGCUCGCUAGAGUGUGUCAGAGGAUGGUGGAAUUCCCGGUGUAGCAGCGAAAUGCGUAGAUAUGCGGAGGAACACCGAUGGCGAAGGCAAUCCCCUGGGCCUGCACUGACGCUCAUGCACGAAAGCGUGGGGAGCAAACAGGAUUAGAUACCCCGGUAGUCCCUGUCUCUUAUAC
This 301-nucleotide ribosomal RNA is filed under the name uncultured bacterium. RNAcentral's name for it is "partial 16S ribosomal RNA". It matches the Rfam family "Bacterial small subunit ribosomal RNA", at positions 509 to 807 of the family's 1533-position model. The record is from RNAcentral.